This 1471-nucleotide long non-coding RNA is filed under the name Sus scrofa (pig). Its description in RNAcentral is "lncRNA (ENSSSCG00070011299.1)". The record is from RNAcentral. Lineage: Eukaryota; Metazoa; Chordata; Mammalia; Artiodactyla; Suidae.
GAGAAAUGCUGAAGGUCCAAACGAAAGCAGACAGCUUUGACCUAAAACAUUUCCCACUUGAAGGAUUCAGGCACCUAAGAAUCAGUGGAUUCCGUUAUUUCCUCCAAACCGAGAUGCAGGCCACCUGCCGAUGAGAAUAACCUUCCUAAGCCAGACGACACAGGGCAGCCUGACGUGGUCUAUGCCUCUCUGGAUUCUGCAGGAGUAGAGGUGGAGCCAGCAAUUUUACCUUCUUCUCAGGGGUGCUGUUCAGGUUUGUCAAGGAAUUGCUACAACACCCCUCCUUUGUAAAUUUUUAAAAAUUAAAGCAUAGUUGCUUUCCACGUUGUGUCAAUUUCUGCUGUACAGCAAAGUGACCCAGUCAUAGAUAUAUUUGUAUACACCCUUUCUUUUUCAGAUUGGCAAACUGGACAAAACUUAGUAAUUGGGCUGAGUAACGCAUCUUCAAAGCAUUGAAUCCAGAAAGCCCACUGCGAAGGUCUCUUGGCCCAGUGUUUCCAGACCGUAAAUGAGAUGUUUGUGUUGGAAGAGAUCUGAAGAGCAUCCAGUCUUGCGGUUCUCAACUCCAGAGAGGUGGUCAGAUGCGCUGUAUGAGACCUUCGCUCAAGUGACUGGCGGCAUAGCUAUUGACUACAAGGGCUGAUUGUCCAAAAAGCCAUGGAGGAAAUUUUCCUAAAAGUCAUAGGGUUAGAUGGUGGAUGGAAGGAUCAAAACCCACUGCAGUAUGGAAUCACAGUCUCUUAGGAAAGGCUCACAGGAUUUAAAAAGUCCACUCCCUAGACAGACACACCUGCAUCCCAGGAGCAUCUAAGAGAAGUCUCUCCCCGCCCCCCCUUCUCUGCAAGCUAAGAUCCCAUCCUUGCUCUUGAAGAAGUAAGCUUCCACAGUGAGCUCGAAGACAGGGUCUCCCUUGUAAGAGGAUGCUUUGAUUUAGAUUUGAAGUUCAAAGCCCCCAUAAAAGAUAGAAAUGUCCACGUAAGAAUGUCUGGAAUGGCUGUAUCAGGCUUUCUUGAGGACUGAGAACCUCUCGUUGAUAAGAGAGGUAUUGCAAUGUGGUCCCUGGGACUGCCGUGUGACAGGAUCGGAAGAAUGUGACAGCUUCGUGUGGAAUGACAUUAAAAAUCAGCAAAUAUAUACAAAAUGACUAAGUGAGUUACAAAAUAUAAUUGUUCUAAUGCUCAGAUUGUCAUUAAGUUUUUAUAAAAUAUUUUUGAGGCAGCUCAAAAUAAGAUGGCUUUACUCUAUUUUCUUUUCCCAGCAGAUUUAAAUCGAGCUUUCCUCUUUGCAAGCCCCUGGUGCCAAGCCUUCCAUAUGUCUCACAUAUCAGGGGUACCAAUGAAAAGCUUUAUUGCCCUUUCCUAGACCUAUCCUCAGGAGCUAGUCGUCUUUCUGGAAAUUUACCGUAAGACCUGUGCCAGCAAGUUUCAUGCAUUGGAUGGUCCCUGAUUUUAGUCAGGAGGUCCUAUUUCCA